RNAcentral lists this ribosomal RNA (430 nucleotides) under uncultured bacterium. Its description in RNAcentral is "partial 16S ribosomal RNA". It matches the Rfam family "Bacterial small subunit ribosomal RNA", at positions 354 to 796 of the family's 1533-position model. The record is from RNAcentral.
GUGGGGAAUAUUGCACAAUGGGCGGAAGCCUGAUGCAGCAACGCCGCGUGCGGGAUGACGGCCUUCGGGUUGUAAACCGCUUUCAGCAGGGACGAAGCGCAAGUGACGGUACCUGCAGAAGAAGCACCGGCUAACUACGUGCCAGCAGCCGCGGUGAUACGUAGGGUGCGAGCGUUGUCCGGAUUUAUUGGGCGUAAAGAGCUUGUAGGCGGUUGGUUGCGUCGAAAGUGCAAACUCAGGGCUUAACUCUGAGCCUGCUUUCGAUACGGGCUGACUGGAGGAAGGUAGGGGAGAAUGGAAUUCCCGGUGGAGCGGUGGAAUGCGCAGAUAUCGGGAGGAACACCAGUGGCGAAGGCGGUUCUCUGGACCUUUCCUGACGCUGAGAAGCGAAAGCGUGGGGAGCAAACAGGCUUAGAUACCCCGGUAGUCC